This 518-nucleotide ribosomal RNA is filed under the name uncultured bacterium. RNAcentral describes it as "bacterial SSU rRNA". It matches the Rfam family "Bacterial small subunit ribosomal RNA", at positions 376 to 882 of the family's 1533-position model. The record is from RNAcentral.
CGCAACCGUGAUCCUUGCCAUGGGGCGUGAGUGACGAAGGCCUUCGGGAUGUAAAGCUCUUUCAGUUGGGAAGAAACGACUGACUCACUAAUAAUUGUAAUUAAUGACGGUACCGACAGAAGAAGCACCGGCUAACUACGUGCCAGCAGCCUAGGUAAUACGUAGGGUGCGAGCGUUAAUCGGAAUUACUAAGCGUAAAUUUUGCGGCGGCGGUUAUGUAAGUCAGAUGUGAAAUCCCCGGGCUUAACCUGGGAAUGGCGUUUGAAACUGCAAGUUUAGAGUGUAGCAGAGGGGAGUGGAAUUGGGGUGUAGCAGUGAAAUGCGUAGAUAUGCGGAGGAAUGCCGAUGGCGAAGGCAGCUUCGUGGGCUAUCACUGACGCUCAUGCACGACUGCGUGGGGAGCAAACUGGAUUAGAUACCCUGGUACUCCACGCCGUCGAAGAUGUCAACUAGUUGUCGGAACUAAUUGAGGAACCGGGUAACUUAGCUAACGCGUGAAGUUGACCGCCUGGGGAGUA